GGUGUAGCUCAAUUGGUAGAGCGCCGGACUGUGGCUCCGGAUGUUGCGGGUUCAAUCCCCGUCAC
Molecule: transfer RNA, 65 nt
Filed under: marine eukaryotic metagenome
Rfam family: tRNA
About the family: Transfer RNA (tRNA) molecules are approximately 80 nucleotides in length. Their secondary structure includes four short double-helical elements and three loops (D, anti-codon, and T loops).
Source: RNAcentral